AACGAACGCUGGCGGCAUGCCUAACACAUGCAAGUCGAACGAUGCCUUUGGGCAUAGUGGCGCACGGGUGCGUAACGCGUGGGAAUCUGCCUUUCGGUUCGGAAUAACUCAGGGAAACUUGAGCUAAUACCGGAUAACGUCGCAAGACCAAAGAUUUAUCACCGAAAGAUGAGCCCGCGUAGGAUUAGCUAGUUGGUGAGGUAAAGGCUCACCAAGGCGACGAUCCUUAGCUGGUCUGAGAGGAUGAUCAGCCACACUGGGACUGAGACACGGCCCAGACUCCUACGGGAGGCAGCAGUGGGGAAUAUUGGACAAUGGGCGAAAGCCUGAUCCAGCAAUGCCGCGUGAGUGAUGAAGGCCUUAGGGUUGUAAAGCUCUUUUACCCGGGAAGAUAAUGACGGUACCGGGAGAAUAAGCCCCGGCUAACUCCGUG
RNAcentral lists this ribosomal RNA (433 nucleotides) under uncultured bacterium. Its description in RNAcentral is "partial 16S ribosomal RNA". It matches the Rfam family "Bacterial small subunit ribosomal RNA", at positions 29 to 507 of the family's 1533-position model. The record is from RNAcentral.